This is a long non-coding RNA of Coregonus clupeaformis (lake whitefish), 1450 nucleotides long. RefSeq lists it as uncharacterized. Lineage: Eukaryota; Metazoa; Chordata; Actinopteri; Salmoniformes; Salmonidae. The record is from RefSeq and is a predicted model, not a curated record. The transcript has 2 exons.
UUCCUCCAUUUCCGCUCGGCUGCCCGGAGCCCUGUUCUACACAACUUGUGUGAGUGAGAGGAAGCACAAGCACCACCACCAGUGAACUUACACCACUGCCACCAGUCAGCCUACACCACUGUUGUUACUAUGACAACUAGCGUAGCCAUGUCAGCAAAUGACUACUGUCACGAAUCUGAUUUGGUCGCUUGUAACUUGCUGUUUGGACAGUCAGUAUUCCAAAACGGAUUUGAAAAACAAAACUGAUUUGAACAUUAAGGCCUGCAGUGUGAACAAACCGUGGCAGAGGUCGAGUUCCUCCUGCCUGACUAGAUGUGCAGGUGUUGCAUUGCAUCAACCAAUUGUUCCAUGCCACAUCAACUGUGCAGUCAGGCAUCAGAUUGGUAUAACGUAUAAUUUUGGUUACCUGAUAUGUUAAAUACAUAUCCAGGUUUUGAAAGAUCUGGCAUGCGUCAGCAAUGUAGUUGGGCAGGAACUUGAGUUGCUUGAGUACCAACAGUUUAUCUUGAAGCUGCAAUGUACUUCUGUAUUGAUGUUUCACAGGGGAAGUGAUGGAUAAUAUUAUUUUCAAUGCAAACAAGAUUUUUGUAGAGCUGGAGAUGAAUCGUAGUGUCAGACAUGGUACCGUCUGUCUCUGUGUGUGUUUCUGUCUGUCUUUGUCUUGAAAUUGGCUUUGUCUUCUCUCUUGUAAUGUCCACAGAAAAUGGUGGUCUACACUGAUUGGAGUAGAACUGGCAGUGGUGGUGGUGAUGAUGAUGAAAAGAAAAGGGUGGCUUUCACUGAUUGGAGUAGGACUGGCAGUGAUGGUGAUGAUGACUGCUACAGUCGAACUGCUAAGUCCUAGUUAAUUCUUUGGUCUUCCAUAGCUUUUAAUGUGUACUGUAUGUUUGUGUCGGUCAUUGUGGAGUAGCCUGCUCCAGCAGGACAUUUUAUCACUCUAGGCCUCCUGAAUAACCAGCUGCCAGGCAAUGUUUGUCAUUCUCGGCUAUUCUUAAUUUUUUGGUAACUGGAGAUGUGCCCAGCAUUUUUUAUAAAACACCCAUGUAUUCUCAGGAUUCUGCUGCAGGAUCCCCUUGCAUUUUGUCAUGUAAAACCAUCAUUCUAUUUAUUUUACCCUUCAUCUGUCAUUCAACCAUCUGCGCUUUCAUGUAAGGGGGCGGAGUCAGAAAACCAAGAGAUCGAUAAUCAUAAUAAUAUAAUUGAUUAAAUAAUAAUUAAUGGUAUGCUAUCAGAGAGCCAUGAAAGAUUAUGUGAAAAGUUGAUAUUAUUCAUAUGAAGUUAAUAUGAAAUAUAUUGUAUUGGUCUGGAGUGACGUAAUGGUCAGUCAGCAGUCCUCCCUCAUGGCAUUUAGGCCCCUCCCUCUUUCAGAAGAAUCGUUGCUAUGCGCUCAGUCGUUCACUCAUCCAACACCACUGCUCUUCCUACUGUAUAAAGUGCAUUUUCAAACAUC